CUCUUCCUACGGGGGGCAGCAGUGGGGAAUAUUGGUCAAUGGACGAGAGUCUGAACCAGCCAAGUAGCGUGAAGGAUGACUGCCCUAUGGGUUGUAAACUUCUUUUAUAUGGGAAUAAAGUGAGCCACGUGUGGCUUUUUGUAUGUACCAUACGAAUAAGGAUCGGCUAACUCCGUGCCAGCAGCCGCGGUAAUACGGAGGAUGCGAGCGUUAUCCGGAUUUAUUGGGUUUAAAGGGUGCGUAGGCGGAUUUUUACGUCAGCGGUAAAAUGUCCGGGCUCAACCCGGGCCGGCCGUUGAAACUGG
RNAcentral lists this ribosomal RNA (305 nucleotides) under uncultured bacterium. Its description in RNAcentral is "bacterial SSU rRNA". It matches the Rfam family "Bacterial small subunit ribosomal RNA", at positions 333 to 636 of the family's 1533-position model. The record is from RNAcentral.